GGCAGUGUGGCUGAAUGGCUAGAGCAUUAGACUGGGAGUUGGGAGACCUGGGUGCUAUUCCUAACUCUGCCU
This 72-nucleotide transfer RNA is filed under the name Chelonia mydas (Green sea turtle). It matches the Rfam family "tRNA". From Rfam's summary of the family: Transfer RNA (tRNA) molecules are approximately 80 nucleotides in length. Their secondary structure includes four short double-helical elements and three loops (D, anti-codon, and T loops). Lineage: Eukaryota; Metazoa; Chordata; Testudines; Cheloniidae. The record is from Rfam by way of RNAcentral.